UCUGCAGAAUUUAAACAUAUAACUAAGCGAAGCAAUAAAAAAAAAAUAACGAAGAUUUCCUUAGUAACGGUGAGUUAAAAAGAAAAAGCUUACUGCUGAAUCCGAUAUUGGGCUAUAUGGAAAUUUAACGUAUAGGUAUAACUAACCGUAUUAUUAACAUUUUUACACCCAAAUUCCCCUUGAGUGAGGCUACAGUUCACAGAAGGACUACACCUGUACAGGUGAGAAAAGUUAUGAUCGGGUUGUUUAAGACUGCAGCUCAAAGAGGAUAGUAAACCUCAUCUAAGGCUAAAUACGACCACGAGACCGGUAGUAGACAAGUACCAUGAGGAAAAGUUGCAAAGAACUUUGAAGAGAGAGUCAAGAGGGCGUGAAAAUGAAAUGGGAACGAAUAGAAUUAAGAAAAUUAUCGAUAGCAAUCUUAAUUGAUCUAUUUUUCAUUAUCCAGAGCAUUUUAACAAAUUAGUACAAUCAAUUUAGUGCACCAAUUAUUUCAAUUGAUGGGAUCCUAAAUGUGCUGAAAUAUGUUUUAGAAGUUUCCCCCACAUAACUUUCACUUGAAAUAAUAGUGACAUGUAUCGAUAAUUUUACUAGUUAUAUUUACAUGUAAUCGUAUGCGACUUUACCGGUCAAAGUGAUUGGUAAUAUUAUAAUAUUGUAUGCAACAAAGUUAUAUAUCGAUGUGGACGUUAAUCACCUAUCUGACCCGUCUUGAAACACGG
RNAcentral lists this non-coding RNA (722 nucleotides) under Brugia pahangi. RNAcentral's name for it is "Eukaryotic large subunit ribosomal RNA". It matches the Rfam family "Eukaryotic large subunit ribosomal RNA", at positions 24 to 664 of the family's 3401-position model. Lineage: Eukaryota; Metazoa; Nematoda; Chromadorea; Rhabditida; Onchocercidae. The record is from Rfam by way of RNAcentral.